Molecule: ribosomal RNA, 301 nt
Filed under: uncultured bacterium
Lineage: Bacteria
Description: partial 16S ribosomal RNA
Rfam family: Archaeal small subunit ribosomal RNA
Source: RNAcentral
CAGCAGCCACGGGAAUACCAGCACCUCGAGUGGUCAGGAGGUUUAUUGGGCCUAAAGCAUCCGUAGCCGGUUGCAUAAGUUUUCGGUUAAAUCUAUGCGCUUAACGUAUAGGCCGCCGAAAAUACUGUGCAGCUAGGGAGUGGGAGAGGUACACGGUACUCGAUAGGAAGGGGUAAAAUCCUUUGAUCUAUUGAUGACCACCUGUGGCGAAGGCGGUGUACCAGAACACGUUCGACGGUGAGGGAUGAAAGCUGGGGGAGCAAACCGGAUUAGAUACCCCGGUAGUCCCUGUCUCUUAUAC